GACGAACGCUGGCGGCGUGCCUAAUACAUGCAAGUAGAACGCUGAAGGAGGAGCUUGCUUCUCUGGAUGAGUUGCGAACGGGUGAGUAACGCGUAGGUAACCUGCCUGGUAGCGGGGGAUAACUAUUGGAAACGAUAGCUAAUACCGCAUAAGAGUAGAUGUCGCAUGACAUUUGCUUAAAAGGUGCAAUUGCAUCACUACCAGAUGGACCUGCGUUGUAUUAGCUAGUUGGUGAGGUAACGGCUCACCAAGGCAACGAUACAUAGCCGACCUGAGAGGGGGAUCGGCCACACUGGGACUGAGACACGGCCCAGACUCCAACGGGAGGCAGCAGUAGGGAAUCUUCGGCAAUGGACGGAAGUCUGACCGAGCAACGCCGCGUGAGUGAAGAAGGUUUUCGGAUCGUAAAGCUCUGUUGUAAGAGAAGAACGAGUGUGAGAGUGGAAAGUUCACACUGUGACGGUAUCUUACCAGAAAGGGACGGCUAACUACGUGC
This 496-nucleotide ribosomal RNA is filed under the name uncultured bacterium. RNAcentral's name for it is "partial 16S ribosomal RNA". It matches the Rfam family "Bacterial small subunit ribosomal RNA", at positions 28 to 508 of the family's 1533-position model. The record is from RNAcentral.